RNAcentral lists this long non-coding RNA (1097 nucleotides) under Prunus persica (peach). Its description in RNAcentral is "long non-coding RNA (PPER_LNC006703)". Lineage: Eukaryota; Viridiplantae; Streptophyta; Magnoliopsida; Rosales; Rosaceae. The record is from RNAcentral.
AAAGUAUCACACUAUACAGACUGUAUUAGCCUUUGUUUUCUGGAGAAAUUCCAAGGGAAAAAUCUUAUAAUUGGGAUUUGGAACAAUUUUUACAUUAAUCAACAAUCCACAAUAAUUUCCAGCCACCUCAACUCUGCAGCAAGUUACAAGCUUUUUACUGCACCUGUCAUCCUGUCUGUAUCACAAAGAAAAGGUUACAUCAUUGGAAUUUCUGGUCAGCAAAGAAAAGGUGACACAAAAAUAACCAAUUCAAGAAAGACAGGAAAAUUCUGGUCAGCAAGAACCCUUAUCUCUGUUUUAUCAUCAGAUAGAUGCACUUCUACAGAAGGCAAAUAUCAAAAGCCUAACCAAGUCCAUAGACGAGAGGCAAAAUGCCUCUCAAAUAGGAACCAGUACAAGCUUAUGAAAAACUGCCCCAUGGAGCACAUCCACAUAUGAUUUGGCUAAUUUGCAUCAUCCCAGACAACACACAAAGACACAAACACAAAACAGACAACACACAAAGACACAAAUACUAACCAGUAAACAAACACAACAGAGUGAGGGAGGAAGGGUCCCAAAUGGAUCAAACAUAAAAGAAGCAUCCAAAGAAGAUUCAGAGGGGAAGAUUUUAUUGAUGAAGAAUAAAUUUGUUCAAGGAUGAAAUAAUUAGAAACAUCUUAGCUAACCCAGUCAGUUGUUUGUCAAGUCUAUUCCUUUGUAUAUCGUAUUUAUUUGCAGUGCUAAAACAUAAUGAAAUGCACCUUAUUUUCUCCCUAAAUUUUCUCUGUAACCAAACAGACUAAAUUUGCGAGAAAGAUCCUUACUUUACUAUAAGGUGGCCUUGCACUGUUUUUAAGCAGAGAAAGUGGAAGCUGUAAUCAAACCAACUACAACAGUAUCAGAAUAAAUACGAUACAAAUACAAGACGAAAGUUUUCAAAUUUAAGUGAGAAGAGAAUCAAAUUCCAAACCCUAACCCAAAAAUCAGUACAUGAGGUAAGAAGAAAGUGAAAGUUCGCCGUUUGGUUGCUGAAAAUCUGCGGCGAGAAAAUGUUUUCAAAGAACAGCACAGGCUCAGUUAGCUCUUUAUAUAGCACUGGUUUGCGCGGGCUUGAC